ACGGGUGAGUAACGCGUAUGCAACCUACCUUUAACUGGGGAUAGCCUUCCGAAAGGAAGAUUAAUACCGCAUAAUAUUAUGAAGUGGCAUCACUUUAUAAUCAAAACUCCGGUGGUUAAAGAUGGGCAUGCGUGACAUUAGCUAGUUGGUGAGGUAACGGCUCACCAAGGCUACGAUGUCUAGGGGGUCUGAGAGGAUGAUCCCCCACACUGGUACUGAGACACGGACCAG
RNAcentral lists this ribosomal RNA (231 nucleotides) under uncultured bacterium. RNAcentral describes it as "partial 16S ribosomal RNA". It matches the Rfam family "Bacterial small subunit ribosomal RNA", at positions 102 to 334 of the family's 1533-position model. The record is from RNAcentral.